ACAGAAAGGCUGCUGCAUCCUGUCAUUGAAAGUCACUGCAGUGGAGCCCAAAAUGAUCCCUUCCAAAUUUCCCCAGAACUCAGGAGUUCAAACACUUACGAUAAAGCAAAGACAAAGACUUUUUGACACCAAGGAGAAAUAGAGGGCAGAGCAGGUCUUCUUCCGGGACAGGAGUGGCUUCAGCAGAUGAGGACACUGUCACAACCACAAUCAGAAGGAAUCUGGGGGUUAUCUGAGGUCUCUGAAUGCAUCCCUUUAAAUG
This is a long non-coding RNA of Hyaena hyaena (striped hyena), 262 nucleotides long. RefSeq lists it as uncharacterized. Lineage: Eukaryota; Metazoa; Chordata; Mammalia; Carnivora; Hyaenidae. The transcript is spliced from 3 exons. The record is from RefSeq and is a predicted model, not a curated record.